Molecule: ribosomal RNA, 253 nt
Filed under: uncultured bacterium
Lineage: Bacteria
Description: partial 16S ribosomal RNA
Rfam family: Bacterial small subunit ribosomal RNA
Source: RNAcentral
UACGUAGGUGACAAGCGUUGUCCGGAUUUACUGGGCGUAAAGAGCGCGCAGGCGGUCGAUCAAGUCGAGUGUGAAAGCCCCCGGCUCAACUGGGGAGGGUCAUUCGAUACUGAUCGACUCGAAGGCAGGAGAGGGUAGUGGAAUUCCCGGUGUAGUGGUGAAAUGCGUAGAUAUCGGGAGGAACACCAGUGGCGAAAGCGACUUUCUGGGGCAUUCCUGACGCUGAGGUUCGAAAGCUCGGGGAGCAAACAGG